UGGGGAAUAUUGCACAAUGGAGGGAACUCUGAUGCAGCGACGCCGCGUGAACGAAGAAGGCUUUCGAGUCGUAAAGUUCUUUUAUAUGGGAAGAUAAUGACGGUACCAUAAGAAAAAGCCCCGGCUAACUACGUGCCAGCAGCCGCGGUAAUACGGAAGGUCCAGGCGUUAUCCGGAUUUAUUGGGUUUAAAGGGAGCGUAGGCUGGAGAUUAAGUGUGUUGUGAAAUGUAGACGCUCAACGUCUGAAUUGCAGCGCAUACUGGUUUCCUUGAGUACGCACAACGUAGGCGGAAUUCAUGGUGUAGCGGUGAAAUGCUUAGAUAUCAUGAAGAACUCCGAUUGCGAAGGCAGCUUACGGGAGCGCAACUGACGCUGAAGCUCGAAGGUGCGGGUAUCGAACAGG
This 404-nucleotide ribosomal RNA is filed under the name Verrucomicrobiota bacterium. RNAcentral's name for it is "Verrucomicrobia bacterium partial 16S ribosomal RNA". It matches the Rfam family "Bacterial small subunit ribosomal RNA", at positions 355 to 776 of the family's 1533-position model. Lineage: Bacteria; Pseudomonadati; Verrucomicrobiota. The record is from RNAcentral.